GGUAACGGCUCACCAAGGCGACGACGGGUAGCUGGUCUGAGAGGAUGGUCAGCCGGACUGGGACUGAGACACGGACCAGACUCCUACGGGGGGCAGCAAUUAGGAAUCUUGCGCAAUGGGCGAAAGCCUGACGCAGCGACGUCGCGUGAACGAUGAAGUCUUUCGGGAUGUAAAGUUCUUUUCUGAGGGAAGAAGGAUGUGACGGUACCUCAGGAAUAAGCCCCGGCUAACUACGUGCCAGCAGCCGCGGAUAAUACGUAGGGGGCGAGCGUUGUCCGAAUUUACUGGGCGUAAAGAGCGCGUAGGAGGACUCUUAAGUUGGUGGUAGAAAAGACCGAGGAUCAACCUCGGAACUAGCUUCAAAACAGGGAGUCUAGAGGCUAGGAGAGGGAAGUGGAAUUCCUGGUGUAGCGGUGAAAUGCGUAGAUAUCAGGAGGUACACCGAUGGCGAAGGCAGCUUCCUGGCCAUGUCCUGACGCUGAGGUGCGAAAGCUAGGGUAGCGAACGGGAUUAGAUACCCCGGUAGUCCUAGCCGUAAACGAUGGAUACUAGGUGUUAGAGGUAUCGACCCCUCUAGUGCCGAAGCAAACGCAUUAAGUAUCCCGCCUGGGGAGUACGGCCGCAAGGUUGAAACUCAAAGGAAUUGACGGGGGCCCGCACAAGCGGUGGAGCAUGUGGUUUAAUACGUCACUAACCGUAGAACCUCACCCAGGCUUGACAUCUGCUGAAAGCGCCUGAAAGGGUGGCCCCGGUAUUUUUAUAUCGCAGCAAGACAGGUGUUGCAUGGCUGUCGUCAGCUCGUGUCGUGAGAUGUUGGGUUAAGUCCCGCAACGAGCGCAACCCUCAUCCGAUGUUGCCAGCGUAAAGUCGGGAGCUCUUCGGAAACUGCCCGUGCAAGCGGGAGGAAGGUGGGGAUGACGUCAAGUCAGCAUGGCCCUUACGCCUGGGGCUACACACAUGCUACAAUGGAUGUAAACAAUGGGCAGCAAGACCGCGAGGUGGAGCAAAUCUCAAAAAUACAUCCUCAGUUCGGAUUGCAGUCUGCAACUCGACUGCAUGAAGUCGGAAUCGCUAGUAACCGCAGGUCAGCUAAACUGCGGUGAAUACGUUCCCGGGCAUUGUACACACCGCCCGUCACGCCACAUGAGUUGUCUGCACCCGAAGUCGAUGGCCCAACAGCAAGGGGGGAGUCGCCGAAGUGUGGGAGCGAGGGGGACGAA
RNAcentral lists this ribosomal RNA (1220 nucleotides) under uncultured organism. RNAcentral describes it as "bacterial SSU rRNA". It matches the Rfam family "Bacterial small subunit ribosomal RNA", at positions 256 to 1484 of the family's 1533-position model. The record is from RNAcentral.